Molecule: long non-coding RNA, 2190 nt
Filed under: Gossypium barbadense (sea-island cotton)
Lineage: Eukaryota; Viridiplantae; Streptophyta; Magnoliopsida; Malvales; Malvaceae
Description: long non-coding RNA (GBAR_LNC013633)
Source: RNAcentral
GCUUAUGUGAUAGAGAUUAGGUUAAAUUCAAAUUUUGAUAAGUCUGAUAGGGUUAGUGUAACACUCCCAACCCAAAUCCGUCGCCGGAAUCGAGUUACGGAGCAUUACUGGACAUAUCGGAUAACUUAUCACUAAUUCACAAAUAAAUGACAUACAUAGCAUACUUUAAUCAAUACAUUACCUAGAUAUUAGAUACAUGCCACAAUAUCAAAAGAAAGGCACAUCACUAAAAUUUAUCUGAGGCCGGGAUUGCUCUGGAUGCUGGACCAGACACUAGCUUUUUACUAACCUGCGCACGAAAACAACCGUACGCUGAGUAUGGGUAUACUCAGUGGUAUUACCAUAAUUCAAAUUAAUAACAUUAAUCAAUAAAUUAUAUACAGUUAAUUUAUGUCUACAAUUAUUUGUUAAUUAUCUCAUACUUUAAAUCAACUUGAUCAUUAAUAACAAUAAGCAAUAUUUCAGUCUAUACCUUAUUUCACUAUCUAAAUUUUAUUGGAUUUUUCAUAUCUCAUUUCAAUAAUUCAUUUCAGUUCAUAUGAAAUUCAUUCAAUUUAUCACUAUAUUUAGUAUCAAUUCUAUUGCAAUUUGUACUCACUAAUAUCAUAUAACAAAAUUUACUCUUUAUCACAUCAUGAACUUUGGGUUCAUAUCUUUAAAUCUCUUAUUUCGAUUUCCAAUUCACACAUCAAUUCACAAUUUCACUUUUUCAUUUCUUCCCAUAGCUCAAUCAAUCACAUUUAUUCAAUUUUCUCAUUUCAAUUAUUUACCCCUAUUAACAAGACUCGGACCUUGGCGGAUACACGGAUCCAACCAAACACACUAGAAUGGCACCCAGUGCCUCAUCGGAUAGUUCGAAGCAAUAAUUGACACCCAGUGUCUCAUCGGCAAAGCCGAAGUAAGUUGGUACCCAGUACCUCAUCGAAUCUAUCCGAAGUAACAGUAUGACACCCAGUGUCUCAUCGACUCAAGGUCGAAGUAUCCCUGAACACUUCCAAUCCUAUGGCAUGCCAACUAUAUCUGACUCAGCCCGACUAGUUAAUAGGGUUUCCAAAUCACAUUUCAAUUCAAUCACUUUCUCAUACUUUCAAUUCAAAUCAUUCCAAUUUAAUCACCAUUUGAUUCAAUACAUUUUUCUAUUUCAAAUUCACUUCCCACUUUCAAAUCAAUAUACAAUUCAGUACCAAUACAUAUUUCACAAAUCAUACUUCGAUUCGAAUCAAACCACUUUUCAGUCAAUCCUCAAUUCACGUAUUCACACUUAUUCAUAAUUUAAUUCACUUUUAUUCAAUUCAUAUUUUUAAUUCAUUCAAUUAAAUAUCAAUAUUCUCCUUAUUUUUAUUUACUAAACAUAUUAUUCAAAAUUCAACAAUUACUAUCAAUAAAUUCAAUAUCAAUACGUAUAUAUAUAUUUCAUUCGAUUCAAUCAUGAUACUCACCUCAAUUUUCUUAUCAUGUAUAUUAAUUUAAAUUUUAACAAUUAAUAAUUAAAUUCGAAUUAUGGUAAUACUAACCGUAAAUUUUCUCGAGUCACUCCUUGAUCACCUUCCCCUUUCCUUUCUCGGCAAUGACUCUUGCACGACAUUAGCUACGUAAUUAAACAAUUAAAAAUUAUUAAUACACAAUUUCAUCAAAACAUUUCCAUUUAUACCUAAACUUUACCUAAAUUCUAAUUUAAUCCCUUAUCAAUACUAAUUUUAUUUUCCCAAUCUAACUUCAUAUUCUCUCUUAAUUCUUACUAUAAACUCAUUUUAACUAUUCAUUUUCACCAUAAAUCCCUAAUUUCGGGAUUCUUUCAAUUUAGUCCCUACUAUUCAAAACUUACACUUUAUUUACAAUUAAACCCUUUACUAACUUCUAACUUGAAAUUUAAUCAAUUUAACCCCUAAUUCUUUCAUUUAUUCAACAUAAUCAAUGUCUAGAAAUAUAAUAUCUUUCCAAAUUUUAACAUAAACCAUGAAAUAUUUUGUUCUAAAACUCCAAAAACUCAAAAAUUAUAAGAAAAUAACUUAAUUUGACUUACCAAUUGAGCUUGAAACCUUGAAACCCCAAAUUUUCUUUCUUUCCUUCCCUUUUUCUUUUCUUUCCUUUCUCCCCUGUUUUCGUUUGCCUAUUCUGUUUCCAUUUCUCUUUUUCUAUCUUUUAUUUCUUUUAUUAAAUUAGUUUAAUAUAAUAACAAUAAAAUAAUAA